UAGAACGCUGGCGGCAGGCCUAACACAUGCAAGUCGAGCGAGAAAGCACUUCGGUGUGAGUAGAGCGGCGGACGGGUGAGUAACGCGUAGGAAUUUGCCCAGUAGUGGGGGACAACAUGUGGAAACGCAUGCUAAUACCGCAUACGCCCUAUGGGGGAAAGCAGGGGAUCUUCGGACCUUGCGCUAUUGGAGAAGCCUGCGUCGGAUUAGCUAGUUGGUGGGGUAAAGGCCCACCAAGGCGACGAUCCGUAGCUGGUCUGAGAGGAUGAUCAGCCACACCGGAAAUUCCACACGGUCCAGACUCCUACGGGAGGCAGCAGUGGGGAAUAUUGCACAAUGGACGAAAGUCUGAUGCAGCCAUACCGCGUGUGUGAAGAAGGCUUUCGGGUUGUAAAGCACUUUCAGUAGGGAGGAAGGAGUUGUAGUUAAUACCUGCGACUAUUGACGUUACCUACAGAAGAAGCACCGGCUAACUCCGUGCCAGCAGCCGCGGUAAUACGGAGGGUGCAAGCGUUAAUCGGAAUUACUGGGCGUAAAGCGCGCGUAGGCGGCUUGUUAAGCUAGAUGUGAAAGCCCCGGGCUCAACCUGGGAACUGCAUUUAGAACUGACUCGCUAGAGUACAGUAGAGGGUGGUGGAAUUUCCAGUGUAGCGGUGAAAUGCGUAGAGAUUGGAAGGAACAUCAGUGGCGAAGGCGGCCACCUGGACUGAUACUGACGAGCUGAGGUGCGAAAGCGUGGGGAGCAAACAGGAUUAGAUCCCCUGGUAGUCCACGCCGUAAACGAUGUCUACUAGCCGUUGGAGGACUUGAUCCUUUAGUGGCGCAGCUAACGCACUAAGUAGACCGCCUGGGGAGUACGGUCGCAAGAUUAAAACUCAAAUGAAUUGACGGGGGCCCGCACAAGCGGUGGAGCAUGUGGUUUAAUUCGAUGCAACGCGAAGAACCUUACCAGGUCUUGACAUCCUGCGAACUUACUAGAGAUAGUUUGGUGCCUUCGGGAGCGCAGUGACAGGUGCUGCAUGGCUGUCGUCAGCUCGUGUUGUGAAAUGUUGGGUUAAGUCCCGUAACGAGCGCAACCCUUGUCCUUAUUUGCCAGCGCGUAAUGGCGGGGACUCUAAGGAGACUGCCGGUGAUAAACCGGAGGAAGGUGGGGACGACGUCAAGUCAUCAUGGCCCUUACGACCUGGGCUACACACGUGCUACAAUGGCCGGUAUAGAGGGCAGCGAUCUCGUGAGAGUCAGCCAAUCCCUUAAAACCGGUCGUAGUUCGGAUUGGAGUCUGUAACUCGACUCCAUGAAGCCGGAAUCGCUAGUAAUCGUGGAUUAGUAUGCCACGGUGAAUACGUUCCCGGGCCUUGUACACACCGCCC
This 1370-nucleotide ribosomal RNA is filed under the name uncultured prokaryote. RNAcentral's name for it is "partial 16S ribosomal RNA". It matches the Rfam family "Bacterial small subunit ribosomal RNA", at positions 29 to 1395 of the family's 1533-position model. The record is from RNAcentral.